This 355-nucleotide ribosomal RNA is filed under the name uncultured Anoxybacillus sp. RNAcentral's name for it is "bacterial SSU rRNA". It matches the Rfam family "Bacterial small subunit ribosomal RNA", at positions 1026 to 1382 of the family's 1533-position model. The record is from RNAcentral. Lineage: Bacteria; Bacillati; Bacillota; Bacilli; Caryophanales; Anoxybacillaceae.
CGAGGGUGACAGGUGGUGCAUGGUUGUCGUCAGCUCGUGUCGUGAGAUGUUGGGUUAAGUCCCGCAACGAGCGCAACCCUCGACCUUAGUUGCCAGCAUUCAGUUGGGCACUCUAAGGUGACUGCCGGCUAAAAGUCGGAGGAAGGUGGGGAUGACGUCAAAUCAUCAUGCCCCUUAUGACCUGGGCUACACACGUGCUACAAUGGGCGGUACAAAGGGUCGCGAACCCGCGAGGGGGAGCCAAUCCCAAAAAGCCGCUCUCAGUUCGGAUUGCAGGCUGCAACUCGCCUGCAUGAAGCCGGAAUCGCUAGUAAUCGCGGAUCAGCAUGCCGCGGUGAAUACGUUCCCGGGCCUU